Molecule: ribosomal RNA, 442 nt
Filed under: uncultured bacterium
Lineage: Bacteria
Description: bacterial SSU rRNA
Rfam family: Bacterial small subunit ribosomal RNA
Source: RNAcentral
GUGGGGAAUAUUGCGCAAUGGCCGAAAGGCUGACGCAGCGACGCCGCGUGGGGGAUGAAGCAUUUCGGUGUGUAAACCCCUGUUGCCCGGGACGAACAAGCGAUUUCGAUCGCUCUGACGGUACCGGGUGAGGAAGCACCGGCUAACUCCGUGCCAGCAGCCGCGGUAAUACGGAGGGUGCGAGCGUUGUCCGGAAUCACUGGGCGUAAAGGGCGCGUAGGCGGUGACUUAAGCGUGUGGUGAAGGCCCGGGGCUCAACCCCGGGUCUGCCGUGCGAACUGGGUCACUCGAGCACUGUAGAGGCAGGUGGAAUUCCGGGUGUAGCGGUGGAAUGCGUAGAGAUCCGGAAGAACACCGGUGGCGAAGGCGGCCUGCUGGGCAGUAGCUGACGCUGAGGCGCGACAGCGUGGGGAGCAAACAGGAUUAGAAACCCGGGUAGUCC